Molecule: non-coding RNA, 5472 nt
Organism: Caretta caretta (loggerhead turtle)
Lineage: Eukaryota; Metazoa; Chordata; Testudines; Cheloniidae
Source: RefSeq, a predicted model, not a curated record
CCGGGCUGCCGCAGAGGGAUGGAGGCUGAGAGCAGGGUACCGGGGCCGCCGCCGCUCUCCGGCUCCCCCGCUGGCAGCGAGGGUGGAGCUACUGCUGCUGCGCCCCGGCCGAGCGCCCCCGGCGCAGCGCGGGCCCCGCCGCCCCCCGCCGCCCCGGAGGAGCUGGCCUUUGACGACGACGAGGAAGACCUGGAGGUGUUCAGCAAGGAUACAUCACUGACUGAGGCAAAUUCAUUCAGUCCUUUGAUACCAACAUCCCCCUCUUCUAUGAUAAACCAGUACAAGUUUGAAGAUGAGCCAGAAUUAAGGGAUCUCUUAAUUAGUGUUGAUGAUCCUGAAAGUCACAUUACUGCCAUUGAGACUUUUGUUACCUAUAGAGUUUUUACAGAGACAUCUCGUGGUGAGUUUGACUCCAGUGAAUAUGAAGUUCGAAGACGAUAUCAAGAUUUCCUUUGGUUGAAGAGCAGACUUGAGGAAGCACAUCCAACACUGAUUAUUCCUCCAUUGCCUGAAAAAUUUAUAAUGAAAGGAAUGGUGGAACGAUUUAGUGAUGAAUUCAUUGAGACUCGAAGGAAAGCAUUGCAUAAAUUUUUGAACCGAAUUGCUGAGCAUCCAACUUUGACUUUUAAUGAAGACUUCAAAAUAUUUCUUACUGCACAAGCCUGGGAACUUUCAUCUCACAAGAAGCAGGGCCCUGGCUUGUUUAGCAGAAUGGGACAAACUGUAAGAGCUGUAGCAUCCUCAGUAAGAGGAGGAGGAGUUAAAAAUCGUCCUCAUAUGUUUACAGAUAUAAAUGACUAUAUGGAAACAUUUAAUCAGAAAAUAAACUUGAUAGACAGAAUAUCCCAAAGAAUUUACAAGGAAGAAAGGGGGUAUUAUUGUGAAAUGAAGGAAUAUGGUCCAAUCCAUACUCUUUGGUGUGCAUCAGAAGAAGAUCUAGUAGAUUCAUUAAAAGGUGUUGCCAGCUGCAUUGACAAGUGCUGCAAAGCUACUGAGAAUCGGAUGGCAGGACUAUCAGAAAACUUGCUGCCUGUUCUACAUGAAUAUGUUCUCUACAGUGAAAUAUUAACGGGUGUCUUGAAAAGAAGAGACCAAAUUCAGGCAGAGCUUGAUUCCAAAGUUGAUGCUUUAUCCAAUAAAAAGGCAGAAAAGGAUCUGCUUACAGAAGAGAUUGGAAAUCUUGAAGAUAGAGUGGAAUGUGCCAAUAACGCUCUGAAAGCUGACUGGGAUAGAUGGAAACAAAACAUGCAACAUGAUAUGAAAACAGCAUUUCUUAAUGUGACCGAAAAUAAUAUCCACUAUUAUGAACAGUGCCUUGCUACCUGGGAGUCCUUCCUGACAUCUCAAACAGUGGAUCUUCAUUUGGGAGAAGAUUCUGAAGAUAAACCUUGAAUAUAUUUCUGAUUGAUCUUCCUCUUCAGUGCAGUUUCUGCCAACCAAAGAAGUGUUCUUUAUAUGAGAUCAGAUAUAUUAUGAAAUAAAACUGUAAGAAUCAGUGACAUCUGGAAAACCAGCCUAUUGAAAACUCAGUCGUAGAAAUUCUGGCCGAAGUUUAAACUCAGCCCUGGCAGCCUGCUAGAAUGCGUUUCCAAACAGAGCGUCACACUCCCUUGGCUGAGCCUUGUUGUCCGUUGGAGGGAACAAAGGUAUGGUGGCAGUGCUUUUACAUCACCAAAAGAUAUACAACACAUCACUGAACCUGAAAGAGAGAUGGCCACAAACUUUCAUGCUACGCUGUGCUUCCAACUCAAUCAGCUUAAGGAGCCAUUGCAGUAGAAAUUAUAAGUCUGCAAGCUUCAGUAAGUCUAUUUUUCAAAGUGUUAAGUGAAGGAGGAAAUUUGUAAAUCAGGAUCUAAACAGAAAAUCCACUUUGUCAUACUUUCUUUCUUAAUAAGAAAAAUUAUGCACCCAGAUUCUGUAGAUUGGGUCUCAGCAUCUCUGGAAGCAGCCUUGACAUACAUAAUUCUAUUAGAGAAACAAAGGAGAACAAAUCUUAAAUCAACAUAAAAAAAACUGAAUGCUUUAUCUGAUGUAAACAAAAAUCAUCUCUCUUUAUUUCUGGAAGUCCCUAUGAAAAUGACAAGGGCAGACAACUAUAGGAAUGCAAAGAAAAAGUAAAUUGGAACCAGCUUGUUUAGAAUGGUGCUCUAAAUUUGGGUACCUAAAAUUGGAAAUUACUUUUGAUUAAUUUGGGCCUACAUCUUCCAGUUCAGUUUCUCCAUUUGCAAAAUGGAACAAUACAAAUCUAAGGGGUGAACUGAGGGCUAAUUAGUUAAUCUUUGAAGAUGAAAAGUUUAUAUAAAAACUUGCUGUGUUUCGCCACCUAUCCCUCACAAGUUUUGUCCACAGGUCAUAGAAUCAUAGGACUGUAAGGGACCUCGAGAGGUCAUCAGACCAGUCCCCUGCACUCAUGGCAGGACUAAGUAUUAUCUAGAUCAUUCCUGCCAGGCGUUUGUCUAACCUGGUCUUAAAAAUCUCUGAUGAAUGUCAUACCUUUCGCAUGGGUGAUAGAAUUCUCAUUUGCAUAAAAGGAAAAACAUCAUCAGUGUAUUUGAAAUAGAUAUUCUAUUUGAGAGCGUAAGGAAAUCUGUUUUUUCCUUUAUUUUAUUUUGAGGGGGGCUAAAGGAAGAUUAAAAGGGGGUUAACUUGUAAAGCUAUAGCAAACUGGGGCUGAAAGGAAAUAGUUAAUUGGGAAUAGCUCUUAACAGACUAUGGGUUAGGUUCAGUGACAGCCCACUGGGAGAAAUCUCAACUUUAUAAGCCAAAUUAAUUGUGGCAGCUUGUCCUAUUAAAGUAAGCUGUUCAAUAUAUAUUGGUGACUCCCAGAACGUUAGUUUAUUGCCUUGAGCUGCAGAUGUUUUGUUACCAUCUCAUGGAGUGGAAGAAUAAAAAAAAACUUCAGACAAGAAAUAUAAUGGGGCAGUUACAGAAAGGUUCAUGUUUAUUAGAUUAACAUUGAAGCUUUGAGGUAUUUUUUGGUUCAUGUUCUCUUUACUAUUUCAUUGUAGAGUUUUCUUUGCUGCUGCUAUCUGCUACCCUAUCCUGAUGUUUUAAAUUCACAGUAUCCACCUUUGUCCCCUGUUUCUGCAGAGAAUGAGAUCUCUAUGUUGCUUGGUAGGUGUGUGUUCUUCAUGAUUGUCAUAGAGGAUCAAAAGGCUUUAACUGGCAUCUCAGUCAGGGAUUUUACAAGGCAACCACUUCACUACUUCCAGUGAACAGGGACCUUUUUCAAACACAUAUGUUGCAAAUAGAUAUGUUUAAUAUCAUAAUACAGUACCUUUUAAUAGACUACAGUGUGACUCACUAAUGUUAAAUUGUACAAUAUCCCAAGGGUUUUUUUGUAAAUUCCUAUACAUCUUUUCUACUGCCCUAGGCAUUCUGUAGCAGACUCAUCUGUUAGGAAGAUGCGUAGGCCUCAUUUCUGCAGUCAUAUUUUGUGCUGGUGAGAUUUGUCUUGUAAAGGUUAUUUUUCAUCUUCCUCUUUUACCUUUUUUCUCUACCCCUCCUUGCCUCAUUUUCUCUUCCUAGUCUUCUCCAACAAUAUUUGUUAGUAUAUUUGCUGUUUUUCUAGGCACCCAGAAAGCUCUGUUUUUUAUUCCCAAAGGUCUCUGGAAUUUGGGGCUUGAUCCUGCACCAUUGUAGUCUGAGUGUUUUGCCAUUGAAUUCAAUGAGAACAGGAUAAAAUCUGUAAUGGGCAUGUGGGCUGGUAUACUGAUUUCCUAGCCCCCCAAUAACCAGUCAGAUAACUGUCAGUCAGUUGUGGUCCCUUUUUUCCAGGGAUGCCUUUAUGGGAACUUAUAAAGAGUCCGAACAGAACAAAAACAUCAGUAGCAAAACACAGAAAGCAAACGCAGUCAGUACCAUAAUCAUACAGACCUGGGGGCAGGGUUCCAGUUUACACCCAGCUGUUUCCCCUCUCCCUGUCUCCAAAGUAGCCCUUUAUAUUUCCCCUGCUCCCUCUGGUAGGUGAGGGUAAUCGGCUGCUGCAUUAAGCCUUCAGGGCCUGGGCUAGGGAAUGUCCUUGUAUCCUGUCAAAGGGCCCUUUUUUGGUUCCCAAGGUGGUCAAAGGGUCGUAACAGGUACAUGGGAACACACGCAUGCUCCCUGUACAACUAACCUGUAGGAGAAGAUGCAGACAUGGUGAACAGGAAGAGGAGGAUUCCAGGCAUAGGUGAGGUUACCAGAGAUGAGCGUGAGAAGGGAAAUGGAAACAUCAAUUAGCUGAUAAGAGGUGAUGAUCAAGUGCUAUGAAUGAGAUAGUCUAGAGAUCCAUAGAAGAGUUUAACUCUUAACUGUAAGAGUUUUUUCCUAAUUUAGAUGAAUUACUUCACAAGUUUGUAUCUCAGAGGUUGCAUUUGGGUCAUAUAAUGACAGGGUUGCUAUGGGAAUUCCUCUUUCCAUUACUCAGCCAUAUUUUGCAAGUUGGCAAAGAUGAUCAAAAUGAUUGCUGUAUAUACAUUCAUUCGCCCUUAGUAGCAUUUAUUUACUAUGCUGACCUUUUUGGAAAACAAGGGCACAGAAAUCAGAAGAAGUGUUUUCCUUAUUUUAUGUCAAGCCCUUGAAAUAUGUAUUUGCAUUUUGAUUUAGUUAUACUGUUUAUUUAGAAUGUGUACAUUGCGAGAUUGUGCAUAUUUUCUUUGGAAAUCUCUCUACAGCAAAAUAGACCAAAAUAAUAUAAAUAAUUAGCACUGCACAGUUGUAUUGUUUCAUGAAAAAUUAGUGUUGGAUAGCAAGUAACUCCAAUAGGAGAAGAAAAACAAAGAUUCCCUCUAGCUAAGCUAUGAAGAGCUGUGCUAGCUUUUUUGGUGGGAACUUUUAGCCAGUGUGUUUCAUUUGCAUUAUCUCUACGUACAAACUCUACCUAUAUUUCAGGGAGCAGUGAGUAUUUAAUAUUUAAAUUAAGUUCUGGCUACCUCAGAAAUUGACUCUCUCCCAAUGUGCUACUUUAGUAGUUGAGAACACACAAAACAUUUGUCCUAACCAUCCCAAGGUUUAAUAGGGAGAGGAGAGGUUUUCAGAGAUGGGCCCUCAACUGUGGAUCUUAUUUUACCCUGUAGGUUUUCCAGAGCCUGAAUAUAGGUCAUAUUACAAAGCUCAUCUUUUCUCUCAAGCUAUUUUUGAAAAUGUGAGCUGAAUUGGCUGUAUGUUGUUAUAAGAGAGUUCUAAGAGAGGCUUGUUUGGGAGGAUAUUGUAUUUGGAUGUGGUAUCAUUGUGUAUAUUGUGUCAUUUACUUGGUACCCAGAGGUUCAGAUGGGUGCAGUUUUAAAUAAAUAAUAUAGUUUUGAGUAUACAGGUAGGUGUGGGAAAGUAAAAGAAUGUGCACUCUCCUCUUGUGUUGUGUAUGAAUAAAUAUGAUGUAGUAUAGAAUAAAGUCUUUCUAGACGCUUCUCUGAAACGGCUGCCUUAGCCAUGAGUGGCAAAAUCAUGAAUGAGUUUUGUAGGUCACCACAAGUGAGUAUCAAUAAAGAUUUU